GAUGAACGCUGGCGGCGUGCCUAAUACAUGCAAGUCGAGCGAACGGACGAGAAGCUUGCUUCUCUGAUGUUAGCGGCGGACGGGUGAGUAACACGUGAAUAACCUACCUAUAAGACUGGGAUAACUUCGGGAAACCGUAGCUAAUACCGGAUAAUAUUUUGAACCGCAUGGUUCAAAAGUGAAAGACGGUCUUGCUGUCACUUAUAGAUGGAUCCGCGCUGCAUUAGCUAGUUGGUAAGGUAACGGCUUACCAAGGCAACGAUGCAUAGCCGACCUGAGAGGGUGAUCAGCCACACUGGAACCGAGACACGGUCCAGACUCCUACGGGAGGCAGCAGUAGGGAAUCUUCCGCAAUGGGCGAAAGCCUGACGGAGCAACGCCGCGUGAGUGAUGAAGGUCUUCGGAUCGUAAAACUCUGUUAUUAGGGAAGAACAUAUGUGUAAGUAACUGUGCACAUCUUGACGGUACCUAAUCAGAAAGCCACGGCUAACUACGUG
This 497-nucleotide ribosomal RNA is filed under the name uncultured bacterium. Its description in RNAcentral is "partial 16S ribosomal RNA". It matches the Rfam family "Bacterial small subunit ribosomal RNA", at positions 28 to 507 of the family's 1533-position model. The record is from RNAcentral.